UCUUUGACUAGUCAAAACUUCUCUCUCUUAUCUCUUCUUCUCUCUCCUCUCUCUUCUCCCUCAUCCCACGUGAUCUUCUUCUUCUUCGUUCUUCUUUGUGCGAACGAGACCAAAACCAGCAAAGAAGAAAAUUAGCUCGCCGAAGCUCAUCACCGCUGCACCGGAGCCGGACCACCACCCGCGCAACACUCGCCCGCGCACGCCGCGUGCUCCGCCACCGCCCCUUCACGUGUGCCGUCCUCGCCGUGCACCAUUCAGCCUCUACUCAGCCCGUGUUCCGCCCCGUCCGGCCACCUCCGGCCACUGUGGGCCACCGCUCGGCCUCGCCAAGCCACCACCCGCUCUCCCGACCUCUUGCCGCCCCCAACCCUCUCUCUUUCUUGCUGUUUUGCGGCCGAACCAGCAAACCCGCGAGUGGGUUUCCAGCCGGUUCGUGGGCCGUUUUGGGCCGUUUCCAGGCCCCGGAUGCGCAAGUCGCUUUGGGAAGUUUCGUUCCUCGCGUCGCCCCCGUCGGAUUGAUCCGAUUUGCGUGCGAUUUGGUGAGUAAUCUCACUAAUCUUGGAUUAGUUGGCUAAUUAUGCUUAAGGUUGGUUUAGUUUUAAUUAAUUGUGUUUAGGUUGUUAGAUUAGAAUAAAUUAGCAAUUAUUAGUCAAUUGUGAUGCGAUUUAGAUAAAUUGAUUGUGCAAUUAGUAAGUAGACGUGGUCUACUAAUUAUUGGAAGUGCCUCGGGAUUUUUCCUGACCCUUAGUGGGCUUCAAUUAGGCUUUUCGGGCCUAAGUGGAUUUUUUUAGUAUUUAAAUAUUAAUUUUCGGAAUUAAAUUAAAUAAUUAUUUAUUUUUCGAAAAUUUAACUGAGUUGAUUCGGAACUGGAAUUUUAUGCUGAUGACUGUGGUGAAGUCUAUUUAUUUAACUGAGCACCAAUUUGAGCUAAAUUGGAAUUAUUAUAAUUAAUUUUUAAUUCUCGAAAUUAAUUAAUUAUUUAUUUAUUUUUCGAAAAUUCAAUUGAGAUGGCCCGUGACCGGAAUAUUAUGCUGAUGAUGGUGGUGAAGUCCGUUUAUUUAAUUGGGCCUUAUUUUGAGCUAAACGAAACUUUUAAUAUUUAAUAAUUAAUUUUCGAAAUUAAUUAAUUAAUUAUUUAUUUUUCGGAAAUUAAGUUUGAGAUGGCCGACGACUGAAAUCUCGUGUUGAUCGUCGUGGCACAGUCCGUUUAUUUAAUUGAGCUUUAAUUUGUGCUGAAUUGAUUUAAUUGUGGAUAAUUACUUUAGAAAUGGGAUGAAUCAUCAUGAAAGGCACGUGGCUCGGUGAAUAGUACGUCAUCUCGGAGAAUGCACGUGGCUCAGUGAUUUGGUAUAUCACUUCGGAGAAUGCACGUGGCUCGAUGAUUAGUACGUCACCUUGAAGAAUGCACGGAGCUUGAUGAUUAGAUAUUUCACCUCGGAGAAUGCACAUGGCUCGGUGACGAAGUAUGUCGCCUUGGAGAAUGCAUGUGGCUCGGUGAUUAAGUGUGGCAUCCUAAAAGAGACACGUGGGCUCGGUAAUUUGAUGCAUUACCUCGGAGAAUGCACGUGGUCUCAAAGAGUACAUUUGGCAUCUAAAAGGACACGUGGGCUCGGUAAUUUGAUGCAUUACCUCGGAGAAUGCACGUGGUCCCAAUGAGUACAUUUGGCAUCUUGAAGAGACACGUGGGCUCGGUGACUUGAUGCAUCGCCUCGGAGAAUGCACGUGGGCUCGCUGAUUCAAAAUGGCAUUUUAAAGGGCACGUGGGCUCGGUAAAUUAAUGCAUUACCUCGGAGAAUGCACGUGACUCGGUAAUUGGUUUUAUCAAUUGAGACUGUAUAGCAAUAGCUUGAAUGACCGGGAAAUGGUCAGACUGAUAUGUAAUCGACUAGGUCGAUUGAUCAUUGAUUUGAUUUGAUGUCGUGGAUUGAUUGACCGAUUAGAAAUGACCGUGAGAGGUCUUGUUGGCAUAUAAUCGACUAUGUCAAUUUGAUCGAUGCUUCGAUCUGUGUUAUGAUUGCUUGGGUGCCUAUUAUGAAUUGUACUGACUUGCAAGUGGGAUCUAAGACCAAGGUAAGUCCUCUGCUCUGUGCGUGUUUAAGCAGCCUGUAGUAUAAUGGUUUACUAAUCGGGCUUAGUGGGUAGAACUCGCUAAGACGUAGUCUCAUCCCAGUUUGGGGAAAAACAUUUCAGGAUUCCGUUGAGGAGUUGAGGAGGAGGAGUCUGAGAAGGAGAACUCGAAGGCGAACUUGAGGAAAAUGAUUUUUGGAAGAAGAAGAUAAUUCCGAAGGGGGUCUUGAGUACGACCCAGAUGGACUGAGAGUCUAUCUUCUUUUGAGAAUUCCUUUUGAAGUGAAUAGUUAUGAAGUGGUUUGUGUUUUGUAUAAAAGUUUGGCUAUAAGUUUCAAUAUGAAAAAUAUGGCCCUGCUUUUCUAUCCCAUCGUUUCAUUGUCUGGGGAUUUUAACUGCUUCCACAUGUGCUUAAUAAACGAAAGGGUCGGCGAUACUUUGUCCUGGGAUAUCGCAUUAUAAAAUCGACCAAGUGAGAAGGAUGGGUGCGUGCCCGAGGAUCAGGGCGUGACACAGGCUGCCAAAUCUGGCCGUUCAACCGCGAGAUAUGGCUAUCCAACGGUUGGCUGGCGGUUGGCCGACAACCAACCCAUACCGGAUUUAAUUUUCGAAGUAAAAAAAUUAAAAAAAAAUAGCAAAAGCCGUUAUAAAUGUGAGUUUUACCAAAUGGUAUUUAUGUUAAAACUAUUUUCUAAUGCUAUUUGAGGUUAAAAUUUACCAAACGGUAUAGUAUUUUGGAAAACCCCUUUACUUCAAAGAUAUUUGCAAUUUCCUAAAGUCAUUUCCCCAAAAUCGAAUCAAAUGGGCCCUAAGUAUCUCAACUUUUCAAAUGUGAAUCAUUAGAGAUGUCCCUUAAAUCAAGGAUGGAUAUUGUCAACGUGGACGCUAAUGCCGCUAAAUAGUCAUUAAUCAUCAAUAUUGGCAUUCGAUGUAGUCUUUUGAGAUGAUCCGCUAUCAAUAGAUACAUAUUUGGACGGCUUAAAUUGUCUCACGACACACACUCUCUCUCUCCCCUUAUCGCUCAAUUAUCAAAAGGAGAAACCAUAUGCAAGCCCCGUCGCUACUGUUGCCUAAUGUUUACCGAGUAAACGAGUCACGCCAGCAAAAUCACAUGACAUGUGAAUUUAUUUAAAGGAGGCCUCUCACUGAACCAAAAUUAAAAGGUUGAGGUACUUGAUUGAAGACAGGCGACUUUAGAUCGAGCAAAAAUUUAAACAUUUUGCCUCAUCAUUAUUUUAAAAAUUGAAAAAAGUGGAUACUAAAAAAUUGUAUGGACAAUCCAAAGGACUUAUGAGAAUAUUUUUCUUUUAUUGCUAAACGCAUAAGAAACUCAUAAAACGUGCAUUUAUAAUCGUUUGAACUAUUAUCUUCAUCUCUGUAUAAUUUUGCGAGUCGUCUCUUUCGCAAAGUGGCGAAUGUAACCAUUUUAUGUUAUUUUCAGUCUAUUUCUCAUUAAUUAUUUCACUGCUUGGUUCAAAAUAUUAGAAAUAGUUACUCCCUGUUCCUUUCGCCUUAACAGCAACAAAGAUUCCCAUGCAGUAGCUCAUUUUCGGUGGCUGCUUAUUCUGCUAAGACACUUCAUUUCGUUCCUAAGAAUAAAAUUCUGAUUGCAACUCGAAAACCCUCUUCAAACGACGCUAUUUGACAUGAUCUACUGUAAAUAAAUAUUUUGAGUACUGUACAACAUUAUAAAGUGGUGAACGAAAAAGGCGAGUACAGCAGCUUUUCGAUAAUGACCUCUAUUACGGUGAUUUUCACGUACAUCGCACUUAAAUAGACAUCAGUUCCAAGCAAAAUAAAAACAGACAGCAUUAAGGCACUACAUUUUACAUACGCAUCUAGACGAGACGAGACCUUCGGGUCAAUUAUAUGUUGAAACUUGGCAUCUUCGAGGGGAGUUUGGGAUGCUUUGCCUUCAAGUUCAAAACAGCCAUUGCCUCUUCAGUCGAAGGCCGGGACCCAGCAUCAGGUUGAGUACACCACAGCCCCACAAUCAAUAAGGCCUCCGCCUGUUUCUUGACGAAAUCUUUGCGGAGCCUCUCGUCCACCACAAGGAGAAAAUUCCUGCGCCAGCUCCAACUCCAGCGCCCAUAAUGCUUCCAUACCCACUCUACAAGGUUUUGUAGGUCUCCAUGGAGGGAAAAGACGGCUCUUCUCCCACAUACUAUUUCCAAAAGAACCACUCCAAAGCUGUAAAUAUCAGAUUGUUUACUUGCCUUACCUGUUCUAUGGUAUUCUGGAGCCGCGUAACCCAGUGUUCCCAUCUUUUCAGUUGUUUUUUGUCCUCUGGCAUGGUCGACUAACCUAGCCAAGCCAAAAUCUCCCAAUUUGGCCACGAACUUUUCAGUGAGCAUGAUGUUGCUGGACUUGAUAUCUCUGUGGAUCACGCAUUCAUGAUCAUGAUAUUCUUCGUGUAGGUAGUGCAGCGCCGAGGCUAAUCCCCGAGCAAUUUCGUACCUCUUUCCCCAUUCCAAAAAUUUUUCCGGUUUAAAAAGAUGAUCCUCCAAGCUACCUCCUCCAAUGAAUUCGUAAACCAGAGCGAAUCUAUUAGCCUCGUGACAAUAGCCUUCAAGUUGCACCAAGUUUUUGUGCCUAAGUUGGCUUAAUGACUUCACCUCGGACAUAUACUCCUUUAUCCCUUGGUGCGAAUUGGGGUUCAUCAUCUUUAUAGCGACCGGUGUGGAAGCAUCUCCUACGUGCCCUUUGUACACUAUCCCGAAACCUCCUCUCCCCAGAAUCCUAUCAUUUGCAAAGGAAUUGGUCGCAAUCAUCAACUCUUCAUUGGAGUAUUCCUUUAGUCCACUGAUCUUUGCAAACUCUUCGGUUAAUUUCAAGCCAAAAUCGCCUACUUCUCCACCUCUCCGGUAAAGAAGGAAAACUAUCAAGUCACGAAGAUCUGAAGCGAAACAGAUCACUAGCAAUCCUGGGGCAAUAUAUUUGAAUUCGGAAAUCAAUUCCAAGAAGGACAGAGGCCCAGAGAUAUCCUCAUAAGGAGGAAGAUGAGAGGUGUAAUGGUAAUUCACGAAUGCAACUGCAACGACAGCUAGUGCUGCAGCAGCCGAAACGACUCUGGCAAACAUGAAUACAUCAACAGUCAGCAACGAAUUCUAAUGCUACCCUCAGUAGAAUGUCUCGUGAGAAACCAAAUAUAUUGUCUCAAACAAGAGGAAAGUUUAAAUGGCAUUGAUGGCACCACAGAGAGAAACUUCAUCCAUGUUUAAUUGUCUAUUAUCACCCACAAGGUCAAAUGUUAGCUUCAGAAACGUGUGAAAGUAUGGAAACUCGAUGACCAAAUCACACAUAGAGAGGCCAAAUGGUUUAGACACUCUAAAAAUUUGGUGUCGGUAGUCCAUGUAGUAAUGGUAGGAUUAAGUGUCCGUUAUCAGCUUCUCUCAAAAAGUUUGAUCCUCUAAAAAGAACCGACAACUUCCAUGGCGAGACCUCGCUUCAUUGGCUGCAAUCAUAUAGAUUACCUUAUGACUAUUGGUGUCAUAAAGACCACAACAGAGCAACCUCGACUUUCUAGACAUGCCAAUUACCCCUAAACUAAGGGCCCUUGUCGACCUUGUUCAAGUCCAUCGAUUUUUAAGUAUAAAUAUAUAAAGUGCACAAGCAGGAGUCAAAAGAGGCUAAGAAAACAAGAGUCUGAGUGAUUCAAGGGGACAAGAAUAGAGAGAGUACCUUAGAGAGAAUUUGAAUGGCAGGAGUAGAUCCAUGGCGUCAAAGAAGGCCUGGAGAAUCUGAAAGAGUAGGUGAAGAAUUAAGCGUCGAGCUUGCGCAGCACCAAGAGCACGAACCGCACGAGCCGCACCGAGAUCAGCGACGCAUCGGCGUUGAGGUAAAGUCAACGGCAAUGUCCAAGGGGACUGUAGUCAGCCAGGAAGCUUAAAGUUUAAGAGUGAGAUGAAGAGAGAGAGAGAGACACGGCAAGGCUGAUCAGAGAAGUGAGUGAACAAGAACUUAUUUAGGGUUAAGGGUGAAGCAUUGGGUCCCGCUUCUAUCCUGGGACCGGCUUUGGAAUUGACAAUGGGUAACCAGACCGGUCCCGUUGUGAGCCGGUCUUGAACCGGCGGAGCAAAGCUGGUUUGGGUCUUCCCCGGGUUGCUCACCCCCAGUUCUCUGUUGAGAGUUGAUGCUAAACAUAAAUCAGUCAGCAAAAUCCACCGGUUUCCCGUAGUCUCAUCCCAAAGAUACACUUUCCAGGAGUACGUAGCUCUGCCACUGAUGUCAUUGAGGCUCCAGUUCGGGUGGCUUGGGCUGAGAUAUAGGUAAGCAGACAGUACAUGCAUUCCCCCGAAUGUCUAAGAGCUUGAGGCUCUCAGAGCCAAAUAAUGGGAAAUUGAAAGAUGUGUUGUCAAAGAGCACAGCGAAGCUGAAAAGGGUUUGAGCAGAGAGACCAUCAAGACCAGUACUUAUGGGGAUGUGGGUGCUUGUGGCUGAUCUUUUUGUCUUCCAAAGCUUUCCAUGUUGGGUGUUCUUGAUUUUUGCAGAUCUGGUCACUGCCUGUGAACUCAAAGCGCCGUGUGGGCGGGUUAACAUCUUCAUUAUUCUCACCGCUCGGCUUUGAUAAAACUGAAAAACUGGUUCAGGCACCAAAUUCCAGUGGCCAAAGUGACAACCCCCGCAGUGGGGUGCGAUUGGAAACACAAAUAGACUCGACGAAUUGCGUGCUGCUAAGAAAGACGAUAAAAUGUGGUUGGUUGAUGGCCGACUGUAAUGUCCAGUUCACACUUCUGGGCGGUGGAUAAAAAACUAAUUAAGGACAUUAUCACACGAAACGACGUGGAUUUUUGUCCCAAGAUGUCCCACUAUUAUAAAUAUAAUGAUAUGUCAGACGCAUGUACUUAGAUUAGUAAUAUUAUAAUGAGUCGAGUCUCCCUAUUGUCUUAUUUAUUGAUGUGAAAACAAAUUAAAUACUGAAGUAUUGAGUUCUGCUGUAGUGUUUUCGUUUUAUCAGUUUAAAGGCAAUGGCCCUGUCUUCCAGGGAGAACCUGUCAGAUGGGUGAAUUGGCAGAAUUCUACCGUGGUGCCAUAAAACACGAAGUAAUUUUUUUUUUCCAUAUUAAUAAGUUUCCCGUGAUAUCCCUAAAAUGGGAUAUCAUCUUAUUUGAGUUACUAACGUAGGUUACGAAUACUAAUUGUGGAGAAAAAUUGGUAAGCGCUCUAAUUGAGGUUGGUAACUAUUGCGACCUAACCUCAGGUGGAACCGUAUGAGGAUUGGACUAGUAGAUUACUAAGUCUAAACUUAGUUCGAGCUCUUCCAAGUCCAUAUAAAUUCGCAACUUAACUUCAAGUUCUUUGCAUUUAAACGAUUUUAUCUAGGAGUUGUCAUUAAUUGAUUUAUGGUGUCACUAAUCAAUUUAUGGUGUGAGUUUAAAAACCCAAAGUAAAGCAUCAAAAGAAAUACCUUACUUCUAUAAGCUAGAGAUUAAAUGAGUUUGAAACUUAACUACGCUAAAUUACUCAAACACGGCCUUUUCUCUUUUAUUAUCAAAAAUAUUUUGCAGACAAUUUGAUUUGAUUUUAAUCUGUCCUCUAACAGGCAAGGUGAUUGUGCAGAGUGCAAUCAUUAUUGAACACUCAAGGUAAUAGAUAAAUUACAAACAGAAAUACUUACAUUGAUACAACACAAUCUGCAGGGUUAGUCAGAAAAUCAUAUUUAUCAAUCUAAAUAUGAUUUCUAAUUAAGUCGUAAUUCCACUCAAAUAUCUUUUUGGGUUUCUCUUAUUUAAAUGAAAAGUAAACUAUAUGUCAUGCACUUUAAUUAAAUGGCCUAAUUCUAAUGACAAACAAUUUAUAAUUAAAUGGACCUAGUAACAAUUACUAAAUUACAUGCAUUUUAUGAACCUAAUUUUAUAUGACAUGUAAAUGAUAUUUUUGGUUUUUUUUAUGAAAAUUCGUAAUUAAAAAUUGAUAAAAAUAAAAAUCUACCUAACCUGAGAUAUUAUUUAUUUUAAGUGAGGGACUAACCUAAUCCUAUAUUAACUUAGAAACUUACCUCAACAAGCAAUUCAAUUGGAAGAUAUUAUCUAACAUGCGUCCUAAUUUAAUUAAGAAAAAAUAUUUAAACUAUUAUUUCUAGAAAAUCAAUUCUAAACCUCACAAUAUGCAAUGCAAUGCAAUAUUUUUGUAUUUUGGCUUGAUGUUCGCAAGUGCGGCUCGCAAGGAUGGCUCGAGGUUUUGCUUGGUACGGUGAGGCUCGCGGCAAGGUUACUCGUGGACAAUGAAGCUCACGGUGCGGUAACUCUCCCUUAUGAAAUCCUCAACUAGGGAUAAUUCGCACGCUCGAUGGAAGUCAACAAAUCUGCAGGAAAGAUGAAACGUGGAUUGGACUAGCACUAGAUUUGCUAGGCCUGGUGGUGACCGAGAACCCUCUAAGACUACACGAGGACACAAGUGAAUUUGUUGGACGUUGCUGAAGUUCACACGAAGUCGCUGUUCUUCGCUUUUCAACACUGCAAGAGUUAUAGCACAGAAGCUCGGGUGCAGUGGGGUGGCGCUUGAUGGCUUCGGAGCACAGCAAAAUUGUCGAUAUUCACUCGAGCCAUAGCAAGAUGGGGCUAUAAGAGUUUUCUUGAUAUGGAUUAUAUUAAUUGAAAUUGUAAUUUACUGUUUUACGGGAUUAGUCUAAUAAGAUAAGACAACGAUUUUUUAAUAAUUGAAUAUGGGUCUAACUUAUAUGGGCUGAGUUAGGCUUGGCCCGUGAUGCAACGGCCCGUCCAAAACUCUAUAAAAAGCGCUAAAGUCCCACCUCUGACCAUCAUUCUUCCACGAACAUUCUCUCACCUCACAUAAGGAAGCCGUGAGGGGCAGUCUCAUCACGCCAAGAUCUGAGGGCCAAAGAAGAGAAGAACCUGAGUGUCACCCCGUCAUUUAAGCUUCGGAUUGUUGUCAUUCCGCAUAAAGAAUGAUGAAUUCUAAAUCAGGUACGCAAAUCUCCGUCUUCUCCUCCAAUAUGUUUGAGUUUCUAGCUAUAUUGAUCCUAAGAUGCCGCUUUGAUAGCUAACAUUUGGUAUCAAAGCCUUGUAGACUAGAACUCGAACUGUUGCAUUUGGCCUGUUUUCGAAAAUUUUGUCCAUUGAAACUUGGUUUUGAAAACAUAUUUGGAUUCAUCUUGUCAAACCAAGCGAUUCGGUGGGUGGCAUGCCUCCAGUGGAGGCCAAAUGCGUCGACGAUGAGCAUUUCGGAUUUGACCUACCUUUGGAACAUUUUGCCUAUUUUCGUGAUUUUUUGUCCAAUAAAAGUACAUUUUAAUCAUAUAUGUGGGUCCUACUCAUCGAAACGAGCAUUUUGGUGGGUCGCUGGCCUCUGAGGGAGGUCGAGCGCCCCCGCAUGCUCCCACACACCGUGCCACAGCUUGGCGGUGAGUGCGCUCAUGCACUUACACGUACGAGCGCGUGACCAUUUAAGGAGGUGGAUGACGUCACCCACCGACUUGCGGCACCACCAUAGGAUGCUGACGUCAUGGAGGACAUCAAUGGGUGGUAAUGACAUCACCAAUGACGUCAUUUCCCAGCUGGUCGACCUAACCCGGGUUGACCGGCGUUGACCAGUUUGAGACGACCCGAAUUGACUGAACCCAAGUUGAUCAGUCAACCCGACUCCGAUUGACCAUUGACUGGUCAAACCGCCGGCCGGUCAAGCCAGUCUCAGGCCGGCUCAAAAGGACGAGCGUGUGAGGGCGCGUGUGACAUUGGAUUGACGCGUGGUUGGUACAGGCGUGCUUGUAUGAGAAUUUUCUACAUUAUGAUGUAUUUAUUUUAUAUAUUUGAUGAUUUUAUGAAUGCGAAAAUAUAUGUAAAACCCUAAAAUACAAGAUUUUUGGGGUAUUUUUACAUAUUUUUCACGUAUUUCUCUAUGAUUUUGGAAAUACAUUACAAGCUCACAUGUAUAUGAUCACAUAAAGAUUGUGUAGAGUAUUGAUUCGUUAAUAACAUGUAUAAAGUUCAGCAUAUAUUAAUGAAUAGAAUAAUGUGAUUAGCAUGACGUGUGAUUUUAGUGACAAAUUGCCCAUGUCAUCAAGUCUAAAAUCACAUGUAUAAAGUCAAUGUAAGUCAUAAAAUUUAUAUCCAUGAUAUGAGAGAGUUUCAAUGAUUCAAUUGGGUUGUGACCGCCAAAGUGGCACACUUGAUUGGAUUUGAAAAAUAUUGAUCUCAUAUUGUGAUGGGAUGUCACAUAUUCUAAUGCGUGGUCAUAUUCUCAAAAGAAGUGAUUAUGUAUUAAUUCAUGGAGAAAUACAUGUACAGCAUAUAGUUAAGGAGUGACUAAUUCUAGUGGUUCAUACACCUAAAAGUGGUGAAUUCACAAGAUGUUAGAAUAUAUUCUCGUAAUCGUUGUCAUGUGAUGAGUAUACAAUUACAUGUCAUGUAUUCUGUCAAAAGAUGUUUAUAUGAUGAUGCAUGUAGUUCUCGAAAUAUGUACUUAUAAGGUUUUCAAGUUACACAGUACUCACAUUAUACUAAUUGCAUAUGUUGUUUGUUAUUAAGUCACAUUCUCUGUAAUGGUAACUUCGUUGUGAUUAAGGUUCUUACUGGGUCAAAUUUUUAGUAAAAGAAGAAUUUUCAGUUUGAGAUGAAGCUACUAGAUGUUCAUAUUACUCUUACAAGAAUAAGUUGGCAAUCUCACCAUUAAUGAUAUGGAACUAGAAAGUAUUUUUUGCUACUUAGGAAAAUGGCAAUUGAAUUUGUCCGUUAACCAUGAGGAGUUCCAUUAGGAACACUUGAAAAUGGUUUACUAGUUAACUACAUUGCUAAAAUGAUGAUAAAACCCUUGGUAGCUUGAAAUUGUAUCUUGUUUAAUGCCGAGAUUGGAAUAAAUGUAAUGAUUUUUCAACAUAAGGUUUGAUGAUUCUGAUGAGGUUAAGGACUAUGUCCUAAGGAUGGUAGAUUUGAAGUCCAAAAUCAUACUCAUAAAGGAACUUAUGAAACCACCAAUUAUUCUAACAAUUUGGUCUCAGGAUAGCACUAUUUAAGAGAAAUGGUAUCAUUUACUACUUUUGUGGGAAGAAAUAACACAUAAGAAAUAGAGUAAUGAAUAUAAAGCUUGGUUGUCAAAGCGUGAGUCUAGAGUUAAUGAUUCAUUGGCAUUCGUUUAUGAAUUCAAUUCCUAUCGAAAGUCUCAUCCGGUUCUUAGUGGCUAGAUAACAGUGCAACAAAUUGCGUUGUUUACCAUAAGGGGAUUCAUAAAUCUAAGAAAGCCAAAUCAGGAUUAAUCAUAAUUCAUCAUGAAAAACAAUAUUUAACAUCUAUUAAGUGGGAGAUGUUGUUUUAACUCUAUAUUCUAAAUUAUGGUUUCCAUUUGAUAUUGAGAAACACUUUUAUGUACCUUCCUUUAGACGGAACUUAGUUUUCGUAUCAUGUCUGAAAGUGUGUUGUUAUUCUUUUGAAGUAAAGAACAAUCUCAUAUCUAUGUUUUCCAAGUCGAAUAAAGUUGGGUGCUAUAAUAUAUCAAAUGGAUUACUGCCAAUAAGGUUUUGAGAUACCAAAAGGGACAAGAAAACUAUAUGUUGACAAACAUGUUCAAGAUCUAAAACUAGUAGAGUAUUAGAAUGCAUAUUUUACUAGCUGUAAAUAUGACAAGAAGUUGACAACAUAAUAUAUAUUUAUAUUAGCAAAAAGUGUAGUAUUAUAACAAAAUGGUAAACAUAAAUCUAUGUUAUCCUCUACCGUAUAAACAGAGUCUGUAGCAUACUUUUCAACUGUUACUCAAGAUAUUUGACUUUGAAACCUUAUUAAGGAAUUGACCACAUUUAAUAUUAUGAAUAGACCCAUAUGGUUGUAUCAAGACAAUAACUCUUCAAUGUUGUUUAUGAACAACAAUAAAGGUCUCAAAGGGUCUAAAUAUGUGGCGGUCAAGUUUUUGACCAUAAAGAAACGAUAUUGAUAGUGACACUAUAGUAAAGCAUAUUUCCACAAAUGAUGUGAUUGUAGACCCACUAACUAAAGACUUCCACCCUUGUGUACUUAAAUGACAUGUUAUAAAUAUGGGUUGAGAAGCAUCAUUGGAUGUUGUUGUUUAGUGGAAGCCAUUUUGAUUUUGCUCUAAUAAAACUUAUAUAUGUAUUACACAUUCAAUAAAGUAUUCAUGAAUGUGUGGUCACCUUAUUGAGUUGAUUAUAUGUAAUGAAAAUCUCAAGGUAUUGUGUAAGUCUUAAGUGAAGGCUCGGGCAUCUGGUUAUCAACCUUGAGCAUAUAUCUUGAUUACACAUAAAGAAAUGUUAACUAUAAAGAUAAAACAUAUGUGGAUUCAUUAUAACUAUAAGGAUAUUUUCUAAUGGAACAUCCAAUUUUCAGUGACACUUAAGGUAAGAGAAUAGUAUCCGACAAAGAAAUAACACAUAAAGUAUUACUCUUUAUGAGGUGUUAUCUAUUAUUGAAUCAAUAUCGGUAAAGUUGAAAACACACGUGACUAUGAAAGGUUCUAUGUGAGUACAUGCAGUUACGACCAUGAUUCGGUGUUUGAAACUUUAUGGGAUACGAUUGACUAUUAAGAAUUAUCACUAGAUCAACAUAGAUGUGCGCACAUGCAAUACAGUCUCAAUUAACAUAAUCAAAGUAGGAAAAUGUAAGAGUUUUUCUAAUGUGAGAUACAUUAAUUGGGAUUAUAAUUUACUGUUUUACGGGAUUGGUCUAAUAAGGUAAAACAUAAAGUUUUCUUAAUAAUCGAAUAUAGGCCUGACUUGUAUGAGCCGAGUCCAUUCAAAACUCUAUAAAUAAUGCUAAGAUCCAUCCUCUAAUUCUCAUUCUUCCACGAACAUUCUCUCACCUCACAUAAGGAAGCCGUGAGGAGCAAUCUCAUCACAUCAGGAUCCAAGAGCCAUAAAGGAGAAAAACUUGAGCGUCGACUCGUCAUCUAAGCAUCGGAUUGUCGUCGUUCUCCAUAAAGAACAAUGGAUUCCAAAUUAGGCACACAAAUCUCCGUCUUCUUCUCCAAUAUGUUCGAGUUUCUAUCUAUGUUGAUCCUGGGAUGCCACUUCAACGGCCAACAGAGGCAGCAGCUUAGCGUUGGGCUUAAACAGCAGGGAGCGGUCAGCGUCGUCAAGUGUGACAGGUGGCAUAGCAGUGGGUCGUCUCAGGUCAGUGCAACAAGAAGUUUGCGACACGAGCAGUGCCAUCGGCCUUGGCAGCACAGGGGCAGAUGAAGGCAACAGCUCCUUAUUGUGGUUCGGCUUGGGCAGUGGCAACGCAGUGUCAACGGCAAUGACGAGUAGCGAGCGGGCGUUGUCAGGUGCCGCAGCAUGGCAAGAUAGCAGGGCUCGGCUCACGUCGAUAGAGGGCAUGGCGACGGUGACGCAGCAGGAGAGGCGUCUUGGCUAAGGCUUAGUCGAGCUCUCUCUCUCUCUGGUCUUUUCUUCUCCUCUCGUUCAGCUCGUGUGCCCUCCUCUCUGACCUCCCUCUACUCACCACGUGUUUCCUCUCAAUGGCCGUGUAUUCUAUUGUGUGUGGCCUCCCUUACGAUAGUCUCUUCCUUCUUAUUUCCUUCUUAUUUAUAUGUGUCAAUCCUGUUUGAAAAAGCAAGAGAAUAUCUUGGGCUGCCGGCCAUCUACUGCUUGAUAUUCUCACUGUUGUGCUCAACCCCUCUUAGUACGUAAAUCUCCCACUUCCCUUUUAUUCAUAUUUUUCCUUUUUAAUUUCGCACGAGCCUCCACACUGGAUGAGUCAUUUCCAUGUUGCUGAAAUAUUUUCCUCGAACAAUGGGAAAAUCCCAUUCAAGUCGCUUUUUUUCCCCUCCACCGCCACACACGUGCACCAAUCUCCUUUCUUGAUUUUCCCUCACUUUGUUUCCUUCUUUGAAUUCUCCUUUUUAUUUUUAGUCGAUCUUCUAAAUCCCCUCUCGCCGAAUCCGCUCACUAUCCUUCUGUUGCCAAAGAUCACACGUAUUCGGCCCAUGUUUCCUCUUUGCCGUGUCUUUCUUGACUUCAAAAUUUUCCAAUUUUGAUUACCCAUGCGCGGCAUAUGCAAUUUUCAGCCACGUAAGGUAUUUAAUAGGCUUGAAUUUCAUGCUUUUGUAGGCUCAGUCUAACUCUUCACCUUACCUUACUGACCUUAUUGAGCUCAUGGCCAUUUAUCACCCGUCACUAAUCCAACGCAAUUAAUGAAACUAAAUAAUAAAUACUCCUAAAAUUAAAUGCUAUGCAAAUUAAUUAUAAUAUUUAUGUUUAGGAGUUAAAAAUUAAUCUCUAAUUUCUAUAUAAUGAAUAAUCAUAUCGUCAAAAUUUAGGUGUCAAUAGUAACUUUUUAAAUAAUUGGUAAUCUAAUGGGUUGACAAGCAAGGCAAACAAAAUUGGUAAAUUUCUUUAUAAAAAAAGGACUGAUAAAUAACUAAAACGAUAAAUGAUAAGCUAAAACUAGUUGGUAACCUAAUAGGAAAAAGCUAGUAAGUUGUACAAAUAAAAGUUGCUCAGUUCAUAUAGAAGUUGAUAAAUUUAACACUUAUAUAAGAAUUGGUAAGAUACUCACAUAAAGAUUGGGCAAUUCAUACAAGAUUGGUAAAAUGAUAGUGUUGAUGCAAAAUGAAAUUAGAAGCUAGUAAAAGAUAAUAAAAAACAUAGUGAGUAGUAUACAAAAUAUUUAUAAUAAAAAAAAAGUUAAUAUCUGAAAAACCCUAAAUUGAUACAUUUAUGACAAAUUUAUUCUAAACUAAUUUUUUUAUCACAAAAAAACCUUAGACUGAUACACAUUUGACAAAUUUGUCCAAAAAUAUUACACUUAUGAUAAAUUUAUCUUCUAUUAGUUUUUAUUUAAUUUUACUGUCAAAAUGCUAAGUUGAAUAAUAUAUUAUAGUUAACAGAUGUAUUGAUUUGAGAUUUAUCAGUUUUAUGAUUUUUUUGUGGUAUUAAUCCAAUUUAACGGCAGGUAUAUUAAUCCAGUUUAGGGUUUUUUAAGAUCAAAAAAUUAAUUUGGGGUAGAUUUACCACAGAUGUACCAAUUUAGAAUUUUUUUAAGGUCAUUUAGGAUAAUUUUUUCAUAAAUAUAUCAGUUUAAAGUUUUUCAUAGUAACAAAAUUAUAUAGUGAAGUUUAGCAUUUUUCAGGAUAUUAAACCAAAAAAAAAAAGUUAGUAAUUUCAAAAUAGUCUUGGGAAGUUACUAAAAAUUUAUCGUAAAUCAAGUGAAUGGUAAAUUUUUUUUACUAAUAAUUUUUUACACCUACCAACUGAAAGGUUUUUAUCUACAAAAUUAUCGUCCAAAACAUGCUAUAGUGAAGGAAAUUGAUUCAGUUCAUAUUUCAAUUGAUAUAAUAAAGUUUCUAAAGGAGGCUGUAAAGCCCCAUUCACAGAUCCAAGCUCAUUUAGCUUUCAUAAUCUCAAUAAUGAGACAAAUUCAUUUCUUUUUCAUAAGGGGACAAAAGUUUGAUUUAUACUGUUAUGAAACCCCGAAAUAAAUGGUUGACAUGGUUUUGCAUAUUUCUCAAAAUUGGGGCAAGUCAUGCUGAUUUACCCUGCAUUCCUCCAAUUAUUAAUCAAUUGCAGAAAUAACUGCCAAAUAACAGUGUACAUAUUUCAGUGAUUCCUGAAUCCAUGGAUGAUAACACAAAACUCAGUUCUAGCUGGUGUGAAAAAAGAAGAGUGGAUGAGCAGAAACAAAGUUAAAAUGGCAUCGAUAAUGUUGUUAGUGAUCAAAACAGUAAACAAGAAAAUAGAAAACCAAAAGCUAUAUUUUUCAUAUGAGGAAGAAAAGUGCAGAGAAACAGAACACAAACUUGCAUACGUCUGUUCUAAAGGAAACUAUCAAGUACAGGACAACUUAAACAAAGCAAAAACUGCUCACGUACGUGCAACACAUAACUGCACACAAACGUGCUAUUAACUUCCUAGAAAAUAACAAAAACACUAAAUAAAUAACUAAAUUGAACUUGGCUGUUUUUUAAUAAAUAAAAAAAAACAGAGUAAAACAGAGCAGAAAACAGAACAGAAAACAGAGUAAAAAAAAAGAACAGAAAACAGCAACUGAGACAUUAUAAUCCAACAGAUAAGAGGAGGACCUUAAAUGUAAUUUUUUCUAGCUGAUUUACAGAAAAUGAUCAUCGUAGACAAACAAACCACCAUGUCCCCAGUGUAUAGUUGUUCUUACUUCAUACUGCCUUUCUUCUCCUACGUUUCCAUGAAACCAAAAGUUUCAUGUGUUCACACUCACAUGUUCAAGUUCUGGUGAUUUAUACUAUCCAUUCUGUCAAUUUGCUGACUCAGAAUUUGCACAAACAGGACAGUCUCCACCUACUUUUGGUUUUGUACUGGGAAAAAAAACAAAAAGGAAGAAAAAACUGAACCAAGGAAUUGAUGAAAACUUCACUCAACAUCACCCCUUACUUUGCUUAUAGAUUAACACAUAGACAUACAUAUGCAAUGACAUCCCACCAAAUCUGAGUUUGUAAUCUUGUCUUCACCGUGUUGAAAGGAGUUGAGAAUAAACCUGCAGUAGAUCCUGCUAGUCCUCCACAAGCAAGCUGCAAAAGAGGGAAAUCGCUGUGGAGCAAAUUGGAAUUAUCCAUGGACUCAAAAAGGAAAUUGGGAGGCGAGUAGACAACCAACCGAUAGCAAUGUGUUCAGUCGAGCACUGAGCGGGAGCGAGGAAAGUGUUUACAUCUUUAGAUUCUCAUAUACGUAGAACUGCAAGUGGUGUAUGGCAAGAUUAAGUGUUCACUUGCCGAAGAAAAUGACGAUUACACGCCACCACAUGACAACAAAAUCCAUAAUCUUGUGCAUCCUCAUAUCCACCUUGACCAUUUCUACAGAGCACAGCUCCCCACCCAGCAUGUAAAGAAGGCAUACCACCUCUUAUGAUUAUUCCAACCAAUGCAUCCCCAUCAAAACAAAAAGUAAGAGUAAAUGGCAUGGCAAAUGAACUAAAACAAACAAAACGUGCUCAAAACAUGCUUGACAACCAAGGACGAAGUAGCAAGGGGAUUAUUUAAUGAGGCUGCUACGGAGAAACAUCUCAAGAAGAUGCAGGAAUCUGAUCAUAGGAAGACAUAUCCGAAAUCCAUCACAACCUCCAACCGACUAACUUUAAUAUAUUAAAUGAGGAGAUUAUGGUAACAGUAUUACACUAGAAUACCGGCAGUUAUGAUAGUGAGAACACACGUGCAUCUGCUGCUUUAUGCUCUCCCUAGGAGUGUAGACAAAAGAGGUAGCAAUUCUUGCACCACCACCUGCAACACAACACGUGAUGGAGUAUUACUCCUGCACAAAGAAGCGGAUGAUAUAUCUGGAAAACACACCGUUUAGUUGGGACCAUUUGAAACCUUGCUGAGGCUAGAAGGGGGCAUUCAAAACCUAGCCCACAUUUAACGUAGCAAAAAGAUUAACACCAGAAAAGUGGAGAAAGAGAGUUUCGAAAGGAAAAUGAGGAAAAAAACUACCUUGGGGAAAAGAGAAAGUAAAGUGCCUUUUACUGACUCAUAUGUGACAGUAUAAAUCGCAGAAAUUGGACCUGAAGAUGCAAUUUUGCUUGAGAUACCUCGAUAUAGCCCAGUAAGACUUGGCAAAUGAGACCAAUAUGGAACAAAUUUCAUCGGCAAUUUGGCAAUAUAAUACAUAACAGGCAAUCGUAGUUGUUAUGAGUGAAAGAGGUUCUAAAUGACACUGUCAAUAUCAUUUCGAAUCCAAUGAAGCAUACCUCUCUCAGAAACAAUCAAUUUUACAAUAUAGCAAUGAGAUUUCUGCUCUGCACGGUAAGACUGAAUGACAGUUUUAAUUGUAUCAACCAGGUGAAGACAAAGGCUGACAAAGACACCAAUAAAUGCCCCUGCAAAUGCAUGUUCUUCCUUGGCAACAGCAGCCUGAGGCUUAACAUGUCCUAAACAGUGUAUCUUCAUGGUAUGUUGUUCCUGGGCAGGACGAUGAUUGUCCUCUUCCUUUCCUUCAGGAAAGAAUUCAAAUGGUGUUAGUGCUCUCAUAACGAAGUUUGCAUUCACCUUUUCCAGAUGCUACAAACUUUAAAUGAUAAUCUGCAUGAAGGGUAGAAGAUGCAGCUUUUGAGACACAGCUGUCUGCCUCAAUAUUGGCAACUUUGAGGUAAUAAUCUGAAAGCAAAGAGGUGCUUUCCUUCUCGUGCAAGAUCAAUUUUGAGUUGUUAGCCACUGGCAGAUCCUUGGAAUAGAUUUUUUUGGGGGGGGGGGGGGGGGGGGGGGGGGGGGGGUUUGGUGGAGUUGUAAGAAUCAGCACUAUCUAUGAAGUUCUUGGGGCCUGUAUCUUCUGACAUUAGAUUCUGCAGAGGAGAUUAUUAUUUCUCUAGACUAGAAUUUACCAGCUUUUUCACCAUCAGAUACAGCAAUCUUAAAAGGAUGUUUGGCCUCUGCAGGUAUCAAUUCACUCAUCAGCCACAAAUAAGUUCCAGUCCAGAUGAGAUCCCCAAACAAGAAAUCCCUUUCCCAUCCUUAGGUCCAUUAAGCCAAUUGGUAAUAUCCCCACUAAAAUUCCAUACCAGUAAUUGAUACUGCCCAGUGCUCUCCCUGUUUUAUUUAAGCGCUGACGUUCUGUUAGUUAUCCGAAGAAUGUCUAGGUUCAGUUGCCACAUCUCUGUUAAGUUGAUGUCAGAAUGACUACAUUUAGGCAAAGUAGAUGUACUGCCAUUUUGUUGCCAUUCCACAUCAUGCAAAAUAUCCUCCUUCUCACCAGAGAUUUUGUAACUUAAGUUUGUUUUUUGUUGUAAAACUGCGAGAGAACGAUAUUUAAAGACCCCUGCAUGGCCAACUGCUGAGAUGAGUUCAGAAGUGCUCAGUAAUUCAGAUGACUAGGGAUCAGCCUUUUCCUGCUGAAAAGUUUCAGAAUGUGUGGGGACUCCCUCUUCAUGGACAAAAUCAGCAAACUCAAAGGAUGCCCACUCAACUUAAGUAUAUCUAAUGGCAGUGGAUAGCAUACAUAAUAAAUUGCUUUCUGAUGAAGGUAUCAAAUAAAAAACUCAGGAUGUUAGUGUUAAGUACAAAGGAACAAAGUGUGCUGCAGAAAAACGAAAACAGAGGACUUGGCAAUACAGCAAAAACAGAGGACUUGGCGAUACAGCAAAUGACUUGGAUCGCCAAGUCAUAGGGUUAAAUCAACGGCAAAGAUCUUAUAAAGAAGACCAGCUUGGAUCGACGAUCAAUGAACGAGAUGCUCAAAGAAUCAAUGACUCGGAUCGCUAAGUCAUAAGCGUAGUCAAAUAGGUUUUUCUGUUAAAGUAGUUACUGUAUUCGGUUUUCCCUUGUAACCGAGUUCUGUUACAUACCCUGAUAUAAAUACUCUGCUUUGCUUUACAUAAGGAGCUCUGAAAACAGAUAGAAAGAAUAUAGAGAAGGUGAGAGAAUAGAGAACAGGGAAUCAAGAUCAUCAACGAAUGCUGAAGAGAUCCCUGUAUUGAAGAGAGAGUUUCGAAGAAUGUUGAACAGCUCAAGUCCAAAGUGCUGAAGCAAGUCAAGUAAGAUUGAUCUUAGAAGAUAGAACAGAGAAAGUGUAUUAUUUUCUGUCUUUCAAUUGUACUGAGUUACAAUGAUAUGAUCACCAUGCUGAAAUACAAAUGAUCUUCAGAGUCGACCACUUGAUCUUGUUUGAGUUCUUCAUCUUUCUCAGUUAGAACUAUAAGAAGCUAAAGGUAUAAAGAGGUAUAUUUGGAUUGAUUUUUACCGUAACACAUAAAUUAUCAGUCAAAGCCUUCCGUUGUGGGGUUACAUCUUCCAACAGUCCCUCCAAUCGAAAAGAACCAGAGCAAGCAGCUUAUGAUAGACUCGUGGAGUUUUCAGGAAAAUAAGAAUCACUCCUUUACAAUAAUACAUAAUUGACAAAUGAACAGGCGAUUACAACAAGAUGCUGGCUGCCCCCUAAGCCAUCAUAAGAAACUACCCACAUGUCAAAAAGUAGUUCAAAACACAAACAACUCAUGAGCUAUAAGUUCAUUAAUUCCAACUAGUUGACCCAGUGAAUCCCUGAUUUUGCUCAGCAUAGUGGGGUCAUAUUAUGCCAUUCCAGAUUACUCCAUAGUCCACAAUCUACACCAAAGCUCUAUUUUCUCAUCAAAGAAGAAGCUACUGAGUCACAGGCACUUUUACAGUACGCGGGGUGUCCCGUACACAUUACCACGUGCCCUUAUUAAGUACAAGAACCUCGUAACACAAUCAUAAAAUUGUUUUACACAUAGUUGUAAACAAAUCUAUGUACCUUAGAAAUCCCACUGAGUCCCCUCCAACUUCGAAUUCUGCAUUGGCAGAGUGGUCAAAGAAGCACGAUUCAUUUAGAAAAGUUAUGUUGGGUGAAUGUGUUGAGUCUCAAAUCGACGACAGAAUGUGCGGACUGAAUGCAAAGUCAUGGGCUUGAGAAAACCAGAAUCUACGGAUUCGGCUCCCGCUCGGAGAGAAGCUCCAAUCCAGUGCGCCUCCCACGGCAGUCUCGUCAAUGGGAACCCUUGCCUAGCCAUGCCAUUUGAUUUGCCGGUCACUGGAAGUCCCUCAACUUGAAAUCAAUGAAAUUCACCAAGAGUGUGGUGAUUGAAGAAUCGGAGAUCAGAGAGCACAGCUACGCUCGUGAAGAAAGGAGGGAAGGGCCAUUAAAAAAAUUCUACUUCAGUCGCAUAGGGGAGUCCUAGCGGUGACCAAUCGACUCCGAUUUUCAUUGGUGAAAGUUCAUCAGUUGUUUAGGGCCUUGCCGUCGGCCGAGAACCGAGAGUUCCUUGAUCGAGCACCACCGAGCCGUACCAUCUGUCGCAUUCUAUUCGGAAUAUUAUCUGCGCAAUAUUUCAAAUUAGGUUCCUUCGCGUGCUCAACCCCACAAAAGUCAACUUUGCUGGACCUUGCUUAGUCUUGUGGAGUCCAGAUAAUCCCUCCAGCAUUGGUGGCGUUCUAGUUUCAGUGGUCCCCCUCGCUGAGACGUUAUGCUACCAAGAGACUUGCCUAAGUAAUCGUACGGAGAGUCCCAUACGUCACCAUUCGUUGCCGGCCCAUUGAGGAGGAUCCGGUCCAAUUGUGCUUGGUCCAAAUUUGGAAUAAUAUCCUCCAAUUAGGGAAGAUGCACAUUUCUAAUAUAUUUGCAUAUUUUACUAUUUAAUAUAUGUUUAUCAGUAUCUAAUGUGCAUAGGAUAGAUAUAUCUCCAAAUUAGAAUUUAUUGCCUAAUCCACAACUGUAAUUUUUUAUUUCAUCUAUAAGGCUUUAGAUGGAAUAAUUAAUCACAUGAAUGAUUUGAUGCUUAUCUUUUAAUUUCUUUAUUUAUCCCAAAAAUACAAAAAAGAUUGCAUUUGCAUAUCAUGUAGGUUAUAAUUAAUUUCCUAGAUAGAAUUGUGAUAGAAUAGUUAGAUACAUUUCUAAUUAUAUUACAAUGCAUGUUUAGAUGACAUCUAGGUUAGAUGGUAUUUUGGAAUUAAAUUGCAUAUUGAUAUAAAUGUCUAGGUUAAAUAGGAUUCAAAUUAGUCUAUUUCCUAACCUAAAAUAGAUAAUAUCUCACUUUAGUUAGAUUUUUAUUAUUAGUAAUUUUUAAUUACGAAUUUUUAUUAAAAAAAUACAAAAAUAUAUGCACAUGGCAUAUAGAAUUAGGUUCAUGAAAUGCAUGUCAUUUAAUGAUUGUUGCUAGGUCCAUUUAAUUAGAAAUUGUCCAUCGUUAGAAUUAGGUCAGUUGGUUAAAUUGCAUUGCACAUAGAUUAUAUUUCAUUAAAUAAGAGAAAAUUGCAUGUUAAUUAGAAAUCAUAUCUAAGAUUGUUGAUGUGAAUUCUGAUUUAAUAUCGCAGAUGCUUCCGUUGUUAUGAAUCACAGGCACUUUUACAGUACGUAGGGUGUCCCGUACACACUACCACGUGCACUUAUUAAGUACAAGAACCUCAUAACACAAUCAUAAAAUUGUUUUACGAUGGUUACAUAGUUAGUUCCAAACAAAUCUAUGAACCUUAGAAAUCCCAUUGAGUCACCUACAACUUCGAAUUCUGCAUCGGCAGAGUGGUCAAAGAAGCACAAUUCAUUUAGAAAAGUUAUAGUGGGUGAAUGGGUGAAUGCGUUGAGUCUCAAAUUAACGACAGAAUGUGCGAACUGAAUGCAAAAUUAGGGGCUUGAGAAAACCAGUUUCCUCUUCUUACCCGCUAUUUUUCGGCAAGCGAAGAGAAAUCUUGAAAACAAAUACAUCAUCAUUCAGAAACCCAGAAGGGAUAAAGCCGAAUGAAAUCCAUAGGAAAUAAAUGGUGACCAAAGCAAUGCAAGAGAACCGGGAGAAUCGGGAGAACCCGGACGAGCUCGACUCUGUACGAGCCGAAACCAGCGCCUCCGCAGCUCGCCGAUUCAUUUCCCUUUUUCCCCGAGAAAAUUCAGAAAGCUGGGGGACUGGUCCGGGAAAAUCAGGGUUUAAGGAAAGUGGAUUUAUGUAGAAAGCUCGGAUUAUGCUCCGGCGACGGCGGCGAAUUUGGAAGAUGCUACGGCAUGCUGGGGGAUGGGAAGACUCGUGCGUUGGCUCCUGAUCCGACGCGCCCCGGCGGCAGUUUCAUCGAGCAUUUGGCGCGACGGAUGGAGAAGAGAUCGGAGGAUUGGAAUGUAGGAAUAGGGGAAUGGUGCGAUCGUACUAUCUACAUUCAAUUCAAAUUCAAACGUUGCAAGCUCUGUCAGCGGCGAGAGUCUCGCCGAGGACGCGGCCGGAUAAAACGCGAGUCAUGCGCGUUUCUUCGGACCAAGUUAUGAGAAGCAACCUAUUUCCGAUUUGUUUGUCUUGUGCACGUGGAUGUCGAGGGAUCCAUCUCUGACAAAGAUCCAGAUACGAACGUUGUUUCACCUGUGGAAGUCGAUACAUGAAAUGUCAUCUGGCAAAGAUAUGGUUUUAUUAGAUUGGAGAAUUUAGCAGAGGGCAGAGGCCCAAAGAAGCUUAAUCGAACGACCUGUCCCCACCUGGCCGGCCCACCUAUUUUUCAACAUAAGGGCAAGGCCUUGUCUCCUUCUCUCUAAACUCUAUACUCUAAGAUUACAUCCAGAUUUCUAAUUAUGAUAGAAUUAGAUAGGACAUGAUAUAAAAUCCAAAAGAUUUUGAUAAUCCUAUCCAAUAUUUGGUGAUUGUAGUAAUAAAGUCGAAUAUAUUCACAUCAUAUAAUAUACAUUGUUUGGUAUAAAAGAUAUAUUAGUAGAAAAUAAUAAAAAUCUCUCGCGACACUGCUACCUGCUUCAGUUUAUUUGCUUAUUUAUUUUGUUUUCCUCUCUUUUAUUAAUUAAUUUUUUUAUUAUUUUCUUCCCCUCCCAUCAUUCUCCAAUAAAAUUUUAUUAAAUAAUAAACUUAAUAUACCUAAAAUAUUAACAUACCAAAAAAAUGUAAUAAAUAUAUAUUUAUACUUAUAUAUUUAAAUUAUUUUAUAAAUAUAAAUAAAUUCAAAUAUAUAAAUAAAAAUAAGAUUAAAUUAAAAUCACUAAAUUAUUAUUUUUUGUUAGUUUGAAUUUCUCAUAUUAGAAUUCAAAUAUUAUUUAUAGUGAGACAUAAUUUUAAUAUUAUUAAUUUAAAAGGUUAGUUAUUCGAGAAAAAUAACUUUGCUAUUAUGGAUUCUAGAAAUCCUAUUCAUCUUUAUCCCACCUCCCUCAUAAGAUAAUUUUAUUCGAUCUAUAUCUCCCUUUAUAUUCGAUUUUAUUCUAUCUUGAAUAGGUACCAAACACAGAAUAGGAUAAAUUAUAUUAUAUCUAGAAUUAUAUCAUGACUAUCAAACACAGCCUAAGUUCUCACAUUUUCUCUACUUUUAUUUGGACUUAAGCAUCGAAGAGUCCACAUAGACCAAAAUACAAGGAUUUUCUUUCUUCGAAGGUGUGCAUGUCCAAGGUGCUCCAAGUCCAUUGCAAAGAUGUUAAGCCUACAGCACGUCUGAUACAAGUAUCGAUACCAUCUAAACCACUAUAAAUAAAUAAAUAAAUAAGAGUGAUAAGUAAACAAGAAAUUCUCUAGAACUCUGAAAACCUUGUGUUGAGAAUUCACAAUAAGGAAUUGCCAGUUUAUCUCUUUUUCUCGGAGAGGUUCACAGGGUUCAGUUUUUUCAAAUUGAUUGAUUGUUCAAUGCGUGAUGAGAGUGAAGUAGAGUCGAAAGCCCAUGCCAUUUUUCAAAGAUGAUGUCUUGCUUUAUUUAGUAUCUUGUGAAUCUUGUUUCUUCGUGCCAUUUAUUAGAUGGCUGUAGGAAGUUGCAGAAUUGUAUCUUGCAAGAGCUGCUACAAGAAUCUCUGUUUCAUUUUCUUCAAAUCACUGCUUGGCCGGUACCCCACUACUGUGCAACUUUGCAAUACUAAAGAACAUCUUUUUACACUAUAUAUGGAUAUCGUAACCAGCAACUUCAAAAACAAAAGCCAACAUGAAGAGACACAUACGCAAACGUAACUUUUUGCUUGAAGUUGACAUGCAUAUAACGCUAGAAGAGGCAUCAAUACUUGCACUCAGAGCGAGGCAUUUGCCCAAAACCGAAAGCCUCUGGACCAGACUGUCGGAUAUAGGAGGGGAGGUUGGAAAGAUCUGCCCUCAAGUUCAGAACAGCCAUUGCAGCUUCAAUUGAGGGCCGGCACCUAACAUCGGGAUGAGCACACCAAAGCCCCACGAUCAUUGUAACAUCCCGGGUCCCACUUGUGUGAUAUUGUCUGUUUUGGACACUGAGUCCUCACGGUUUUAAAACGCGUCACACAAUUAAAGGAACCCAAGCCUUAUAAAGGCUCCCAGGAACCCCUCCCUAAGCGAUGUGGGACAAGAGGGAGAGGAAUCCCUUCCCCUUCCCUUGCGCGCGUCCGAGGACCGGAGGCGCGGACGCACCGCCAUCCCUCCUCCCCGCGCACCACCGCUCGGGUCGUGUCCGGUCCGCGGACGUACCGCCAUCCCUCCUCCCCGCGCACCACCGCUCGGGUCGUGUCCGGUCGUCACACUCUCCCCCCUUGGGAGCGGGUCGUCACACUCUCCCCCCCUUGGGAGCACAGCGUCCUCGCUGUGGCCCCACACGCUGUCGGGAGUCGGCUCUGAUACCAUUUGUAACAUCCCGGGUCCCACUUGUGUGAUAUUGUCCGCUUUGGACACUGAGUCCUCACGGUUUUAAAACGCGUCACACAAUUAAAGGAACCCAAGCCUUAUAAAGGCUCCCAAGAACCCGUCCCUAAGCGAUGUGGGACAAGAGGGAGAGGAAUCCCUUCCCCUUCCCUUGCACGCGUCCGAGGACCGGAGGCGCGGACGCACCGCCAUCCCUCCUCCCCACGCACCGCCGCUCGGGUCGUCACACUCUCCCCCCCUUGGGAGCGGGUCGUCACAAUCAUCAAGGCCUUCGCCUGUUUCUUGUUGAAAUUUUUACCGAGCUUCAAGUCCACGGGCAACUUCCCCCGCCCAUAUUGCUCUCGAACCCACACCACAAUGUGGCAUUGGUCUUCAAUGACUCUUCUCCCACAAACAAUUUCCAAAAGGACGACUCCGAAGCUAUAGAUAUCAGAUUCCUUACUUGCCUCACCCGUCUGAUGAUAUUCCGGAGCCACAUAACCCGGUGUUCCCACCACGUCAGUUGCUUUUAGCCCACCAGCAUGGUCAACUAGCCUGGCCAAGCCAAAAUCUCCCAGUUUGGCCUCUAACCUUUCAUCGAGCAUGAUAUUGCUGGAUUUGAUAUCCCUGUGGAUCACGCAUUGAUUACAUUGUUUGUGUAGGUAGUACACCGCCGAGGCUAAUCCUAGAGUGAUGCUGUACCUUCUUUCCCAUGUCAACGAGGGUCUACCUUUAAACAGAUGAUCCUCCAAGCUGCCUCCUCUCAUAAAUUCGUAAACUAGGAUGAAUUCGUUCGCCUUGUGACAAUAACCUAUAAGUUGCACCAAGUUUCUAUGCCUAAGUUGACUUAGUGACUUCACCUCAGAUACAUACUCCUUUAUCCCUUGGCGUGAGCCAGAUUUUAUUUUCUUUACAGCGACCACGGUGCGAGCGCCUCCCAUGUGCCCUUUGUACACGAUCCCGGAACCCCCUUCUCCCAGAAUCCUGUCACGUGCAAAAGAAUUGGUCGCGAUCAUCAACUCUUUAAAGGAAAACUCCUUGGUUCCACUCAACUUUUCAAACUCUUCUGUUAAUUUCGCGCUAAGGCUGCCUUCUUCUCCACCUCUCUCUGUCUUAUACUUUACCCAAGCAACGAUGAUCGCCACCAAUACAAUGGCACCGCCCAGUAGCGACUUCAACCAAGAUUCAGUAUCCUUCUCCACCCGGAGCUGUAAACUGGAGCUAAAUUGCCGUUUCUCGCCAAAGCGAUGCUCAAGUACAGUAUCAACCAAACCUAGGUGGAAAUACCCACUUGUGUUGAAUUGCUGUAUCUGGCCAAAGCGAUGCUCAAGUGCAAAUUCAAGGGAGCCUGCUGGGAGACAAACACCCACCGCGUCUGGCGAAUACUCACUUGAGCUGAAUUGCUGUAUCUGGCCAAAGCGAUGCUCAAGUGCAAAUUCAAGGGGACCUGCUAGGAGACAAACACCCACCGCGUCUGGCAAAUACUCACUUGAGCUUAAUUGCUGUAUCUGGCCAAAGCGAUGCUCAAGUGCAGAUUCAGGGGGAGCUGCUAGGAGACAAACACCCACCGCGUCUGGCAAAUACUCACUUGAGCUUGACUGCUGUAUCUGGCCAAGGCGAUGCUCGAGUGCAGAUUCAGGGGGAGCUGCUAGGAGACAAACACCCACCGCGUCUGGCAAAUACUCACUUGAGCCGCAUGCGCAGGAGUGACGAUGGACUUUGUCCCUAGUAUUCCCACCAGCAUCCUUCCAGACCACGCUCAAAUAUUUCGCCCUUGGGUUGUACAUUAUACUAGCAUUUGACCCAUCAUUCAUGACUUUGCUGAUCGUCCCUUGCACAAUGCCCAUGGACCUGAGGCCACGUGGAACGUCCGCAUCCAACGCAUUCUUGAAAUGGUCAACGUUGACCGCAGCACAAUCGCUGUUGGGACGAGCUAGACAACCCUGAGAAGCUAGAAAGAAGGCAACAACGUCGUUGAUGAAAGUGUUUACCUGUUGACGGUUGGCCUUUACCUGUUGAAGGUUGGUACGCUUGCCAGGGAAACGCUGCACAGGCACGGAGAAGGCCUUGUCCCCAAAAUGCUCUUCCCCGAAAUACACGGCUAUAACACCAUGAGGAUCAACAGAUAAGGCGUGUGCGUCCCCAAAAGGGUUUCCCCGUUGAGAGUCGGUGCUGGCCGUAUACUGGGUAGCACAAUCCACCACAUUCCCCGUAGCCUUGUCCCAAAAAUGCACUUUGCCGGAAUACGUAGCUUGGCCACUGAUGCCGUUGAGUGUUCCGUUCGGCUGGCUUGGGCUGAGGUAAGAAGGCCGCUCAGAAGCAUUCCCCUGAAUGACUAAGGGCCUGGGGAUCGCAAAAUCUGAAGAGGGCUUGAGCAGAGAGAUCAUCAAGACUAGUAGAACCAACGUGCGUGUGAGUGGUUGAGGAUGAUCUUUAUGUCUUCCAAAGCUUUCCAUGUUGGAUGUUCUAAGUUUCUAGAAGAUCUGGAUACCGCUUGCAAACUCAAAGCGCUGUGCGAAGCCGGGCGGGCAGGUUAAAAUCUUCAUUCUCAGCGCUCAGCUCAGAAAGAAGCGGUGGAAGUGAUAAUCGCUGCCGUGCGCCAGAAUCAAAUAACGAAUAGAAAACUGCACUCACCGCCGUUUCAGUCCUUCGUCGUCAAGAUCGGGCUCGGCCAGCGAACUUGGGCCUCAGAUUCUAGACAUAAGGUCGAACGAGCACAGGAGUUGUGAUGCUCAGCUCGACCUUGAAGACCAGGGUCGGCUCAGGCAACGAACGAGGUGGAGGCGGAGGUAGCGGCGUGGUCCGUCGACGCGGCGGAGGGCCUCGACCUCCUAGUCGACGUGGGCGUGAACGCAGAUCGUUGAAGUGGAGAGAAAGCGCGAGAGUCCCCUUUUUUCUUCUUGGGGAUUCAAGACCCAAGUUCGCUGGCUAAGCUCGGUCUCGAAGACGGAGGACUGAAACAGCGGCGAGGGGUGGACUGAGAUGGCGGUGGGGUGGUGGCGAUGAAAGGGUGUUGUCCCCGUCAGAGUGAGGAGGAAGAAGAAGCAAAAACAAGGAGUCCUACCCAAUAUUUUCUCAGCCGGUGAGGUUCGGUGAAUGCGAGCGCGAAUCAAAACGCGUCAAAAAGUCUUUCCAUGCCUUUUUUUUUUGGUCGACCUUUCCAUGCUUUUCUUAUCGGUGUUUGGGGUGUUUGGGCUGUGGAUUAGAAAUUAAUUAGAGAAAAGUCUAAGAAGAGGGCGCCAUCCCGUCACUUUAAAAGUUACCGGGUAACGCUGACCUCGCAUCUCAACUGUAGGAUAUUGGCAACAGGAACUCAACACUUCGAAGAUGUAAUUGCCAAAAAUGACCUUCAUGGGGAAGCUAGACCCAUUAAAGAAAAAAUAAACAUAAUCUACAUUCGUUACAUCACUAGGGCUCCAAUUGUUUUGGAGAAUGAAAUAUUAUAAAAAUUAUCGCUAUGCUACUAGAGAUAAUUUGUAAAAAAAUGCUUUCGUUACCCACAACAAUUUGUAUUUAAACAAAAAAAAAAAGUGCUUUCAUUACCCUUAGCAAUUUGUAUUUAUACAUUUUCUAGACGGUUCGAAUAUAUGUCAUUUAUCAGAUUUUCCUUCCUAAAAAAUACUUUUUAAUCAAAAUGCACGAUCGAUAAGUUUUGUCAAUUAUCGAAACAACCGAGGGACUAUUUUCUCCGACGGCUCGAAUCUAACCAACAUGUGGAAUGUCCACAUCCCAGAUAUUCUUGAAAGGAUCAGCCUCCCCAGCGUCACAAUAGCUCUUGGGAAGAGCAAGAUGGCCCUAAAGAGCACAAAGAAGGUGAAUGUGUUGCCGAAAGGGCUUCUUUGUUGAGAGUCGGUGCUAAACAUAUACUGGGCAGCGAAAUCCACCCCAUUCCGUGUGGCCUCGUCCCAAAGAUGCAAUUGCCCGGAAUACCUAGCUCGGCCACCGACGUCGUUUAGUCUCCGGUUCCACUGGCUUGGGCUGAAACGUAGGUAAGUAGACAGCUCGGAGGUAUUCCCCUGGACGUCUAAGAGCUCGAGGCUUUCAGAGCCAAAUGAGACAUUGAAAGAUGGAUUGUGAAAGUGUCUAGCUGAAGCGGAUAAGGUUUGAGUAGAGCCGUUAAACAGGUGGAUCGGGUCUGGGUCGGGUCAUUAAUAGUCCGACCCAAAUUGACCCAUUAACCCAUUUAUAACCCAUUUAUGUUUAAUGUAAAUUUUUCGAUCCAAACCCGACUCGACCCAUACCCAACCCAUACCCGACCCGACCCAACUCAUAUUAAUAAAAUAUUUUCAUAUUUAACAAAUUUAGAAAAACUUAUUCCUAUGUUUUUUUUUUAAGAUUAUACUAUUAAAAUACUUCCAAGCUUUUAUAUAUAUUAUUUUUUUUUAAAAUUGUAUUGCUAAAAUAGUUUUAUACAAUAUAAAUUUAAUGGACAAUUUUUAUAAAUUUUAAAAUAAUUAUUUAAAAAAUCGAAAUGUAAUUAUUUUUUAAAAUUAAAUUUUUAAUUAUUUUUAUUUUAUUUUUAAAAUAUAUUUUCUUUUUCUUUUUCUCUUUUCUUUUUUCUUUUUCUCUUUUUUCUUCUCCUUCUUCUUCUUCUUUGGCCGACUGCCGGCCACGACAACAGCUGGCAACCGGCCACAGGCGAGCCUCGAGCUCAUCGGCGUCGGCGAGCUCGAGGCUCGCCUGGCCGGUCGCUGUGCCGGUGGCCGAAAGGAGGAAGGAGAAAGAAAAAAAAAAAGAUUAAAAAAGAAGAAAAAGAAAAGAGAAAAUAAAAAAAAAUUAUAAUUUCGAUUUUUAUAAAGUUAAAGAGAGAAGGGAGGAAUUAUAAUGUUUUUGUUAAAGAUGAGUUUUCAACCCAACCCAUUUAAAAACCCACUUAAGACCCAUCUAUCUUAAACCUUUAAUUGUGAAACCCAUUUAACUAUCUUUUGUUUUAAACAAGUGACCCAUUUAUGACCCAUUUAAGAUUUAAAUGGGUCAUAAAUGGGUUUAUUACCCAUUUUAACACCUCUAGGUUUGAGCGAGGGAUUUUAAAGACUAGUACUAACAUCUUUGUUGGUCGCUAUGCAUUAUGGCGGUUGUCAUUCUCACCAUUCGGCUUUGAUAAAACUGAAAAAGUGGUGCGUGCACCAAAAUCCGGUGGUUAAAGUGACAAUCGCCAGGGUGUGCCAGACUCAAUAGCGAACAGAAAAUUGUACUCACUUGGCCUAGUUGGAUCAGAAAUUAUCACUGUGAACACAUAUUAAAUGAGUCAAGUCUCCCUAUUAAUCUUAUCUAUCGAUGAUCAGAUGAUUGGGCAAUGGAUCAUAAAAUAAUUAAGGGCAUCAUCACACGAAAAAGUAGACAAGUGAUAUUGUAAUCAGUCAAGUCUUCCUACUCAUUCGAACAAAAAAAAAAGUGUCUUCCUACUCCUAUCCAUCGAUGAUCGGACGAUUGGGCGGUGGACUAUAUAGAAAACAAUUAGGGCAUCAUCACCCGAAAAUGUAGAUCAGUACGCAAGUCUUCCUAUUGGAUUAGUUGUCGAUGUGAAAACUACUUAAACAUAGAAGGAUUGAGUUAUGCUAUCUUGUACAUGGAUCAGUUCAAAGGCAAUGUCUAUGUCUUGUUGGCAGAACCGUGGGAUCGCAGGAUUCUGUCGGGGUGCCAAACAAAUGGAAUUUUUUUUUCUGGUACUUGUAGAUUUCACUAAAGUGUUUAUAAGUAUUGACAAGCGUCAAAUAAUAUUGAUUAAGAAAAUGACAAGUGAGUUCAUUUUCCAAGUAACUCGUUGAUAAUUUUUUAACAUUUUUAUGAAACGCCAACUUCUUUAUAUAAUUUAUUAUCAAUUUUUUUAAGACUUUACCAUAGAGUCAUUCUACAUAUGCAAAACCUUGGUAACAUUUAAAAGAAUAAUUUAGUUUAAUUCAAUAUCUUCAAAUAUAUACAAAUCUAUACAUAUGGGACUACUUGAAGUUCACGUGGCAAUAACUUAUGAAGAAUAAUUCUCGAGGGCAAGGCAAAAAUUUUAUGACAAUUAGUCGCAAAAGAUUUAAAAUGACAUCAUUUGAUUUCAUAUAUUGCAGUUUAUGUAAUUAUAUGGGGAUCUUGUACACCAUGCCUCUGAAAAUUCUAUCAAUGACAUAAAAUGACACAUUAUUUACAAAUGCAUAUCAUCAUAAUUACAUGUAAAUAAUUGUUAAAUUGCGUUAACACGUAGGGCUAUUAGCCAUAAUCAUUAGGGUUUUUUUAAUUUAAUUGUGAAUAACAUCCUUCAGAAGCUAUAUGGUGGUUCCAAAAAGCCACAACUUCCCUAGGAAUGGAAGAGCAAGUUAUCCAGUUCCUAAGUAAAAGUGCCAUAACGUGAUGGGACCAUCUUGUUCAGAUUUUUCUACGAAUAAUUUUAAUAUAGGGGUUGUCUGAUUUAGUUGAACGAAUUUUACGUAAGCACUUACGCAUUCACUAGUCCUAUCGCAUUCUCCUAGUAAAUGAAAGCGACCCCAUCAAAACCAAAUAUUUGAGAGCGACUCAAAUUAAUAUCAUGACGUGUAAACAUUCAGACCAAAGAUAGAGUUCUUUCACAUUUAAAAAUGGUCAGGCACUGAAAUGCUUUUAUCUAAUGUAAUCAGGGCUUUAUCAUACCCCAACACUUUUGGGCCAAAAUAAACAAGAAUAAGAAAAAUAACAUGACCUCUCAAUUUCCACGAUUUACUCAUACGUACUCCAAAUCUCAAGCUAAACAGGCAGUCCACAUCAUAGCAUCCAAACUACUAAGGUCACGCCUCCAUCUAUAUAUAGAAUUUUAAACGGACUUGCGGUAAUCUGCAUCUAUGGAUCACUUAUUAAGACUAUAUCAAUGAUAUCAUGGAAAAGAUAAGGUUUAAUCACGUACAGAAAUUAGAAGAGGCCUCAAAAUGAAAAGGUGCCCUGGGCCUCUCGGAUCCAAUUAAUACACAGGUGAGAGAAUAAAAGUUCAAAGCUGCGGUUUGUUUUUCUUUCAGUCAUUGUGUAAGUCAACGAAUAGUGUGCAUAGUUGCGAGACUUUGGAAUUUCCGCACAAUUGACAAGAGGACCUUUGAUUAAUUUAUCAAUUUAAUCCUAAACUUUUAAAUAAUUUACCAAUUUAAUUAUAAAUCUUUUGACAUUUUGUCAAUGUAGUCAUUCUGGCUAAUCUUACUCGAAAAUUACAGUCAUAGUAACCUAGCUAGUGACAAUCGUCCACAUGAUUGACACUGAUUUGAACGGUUGUUGAAUUUUGUCCUUUAUUUUUCCUUUCUUUUUGUUCUUUUCUCCUUAUUUCCUCACAAAAUCUGGCAAGGGCAGCUCUCGCUAGCCACAUUAGAGGCCAGCAACCAGUAGAGGGAAAAAAGAAAAGAAGAAGAAAAUUAACAUAAGCCUCAUAUUGAGCCAAUUUAAAAGGUUGAGAUACUUGAUUGAGUAGAAAAUAAUAAAUAGACAACCGACAUUAGAAUGGGGAAAAAUUAUUCCUCACCAUCGGGAUUAGUUUUGACCCAUGCAGUAGCUCAUUUUGGCAAUUGCUUAUUUUGCUGACGGACUUCAUUUCAUUCGUAAGAGUAAAAUUCCGAUAGUAACUCAAGAUUUCUUUUGAAAUGACGCCGUUUGGCACGGUCAAAUCUAAGUAAAUAUUCUAAGUACUAUACAACAUUACAGUCGAUAGUAAAUGAGAUGUUGGAAGUUUGUUUGUUUACAAACAAAGUGUAUGUUUCCUUGUCGCACAUAGAAAAAGUAAAAGAAAGUGGGCCAAUUAAUAAAUGUGAGGUUUCUUUAGUGUACCUAAAGAAAUAAUUGAGUGUGGGCUAGACCUCAUCAUACUCUCGUUCAGUUUGCAAUCUUUCGCAAAGGGUUGCAUUUAUUCGUUUUUUCAACUUCUUUCUAAUGGACGCCUUUGUUCAUCUGCACAAUCUUUUGAAAGGAUGCAUUUGUUCAUUUUGCAACAUUUCACGAAGAGUUGCCACUAUUUAUACAUAUGUUCACUUUUCAACCUUUCAUGAAGAGUUGCCACUGUUUAUGUAUACAUGUCAGUUUUCAGAAGAACAAUGUGUGUGAUCAUUUUAUCUUUUCAAGCCUUCUUUCUGAAAGAAAAAAAAAAGCUACAGCCAUCUUUUCAAUUGUUUCCUAGAGAGAUCCUGAAAAAAAAUACUAGAAUUGAUAUUUAGUAUUCUCAUUUUGAGACUUUGUUGUAUCCUAGAGAAAAUUUGUCAGUGACUAUUCGUAACGUUGUGGGGCAGAUAAAUCUUUAAAAAAAAAAAUGAUAUCACACCUCCCGACUUCAUUUUUAUCCAAUUCAAAGCCACAUUUUCCCAACAUGAGAAAGGCGAGAGUACAACAGCUUUUUGAGAAUAACCUUUAUUUCAGUGAUAUACACAUAUAUCCCCCUUCAAAAGACAUCAUUUUCGAAUAAAAUAAAAGAUAGACAUCAUCGAGGCAUUUGCUUAAAGUCAAACACAUCCAGACGAGACCUUUCGAUCAAUAGAAAUAUGCUGGCAUCUUCCGCGGGAGCUUGGGAGGCUCUGCCUUCAAGUUUAAAACGUCCAUUGCCGUUUCAAUCGAAGGCCGAGACCUAGCAACGGGAUGGGCACACCACAGCCCCGCGAUCAUCAAAGCUUUCGCCUGUUUCUCGUCGAAAUUUCUGCCAAGCCUUGUGUCCACGGCAUCGAGCAACUUCGUGGGCCCAUAUUGCUCCCAAACCCACACUACAAGGUUUUCUGGGUCUCGUUUUAGGUCGACGGCUCUUCUCCCACGUACUAUUUCCAAAAGGACAACUCCAAAACUGUAGAUGUCGGAUUCUUUGCUUGCCUUCCUCGUUUGAUGGUAUUCAGGAUCCCAGUAACCCGGUGUUCCUACCACUCGGGUUGUCCUUUGCUCUCUGUUGUGGUGGCCGAGCUUAGCCAAGCCGAAAUCUCCCAAUUUGACUAUGAACGCUUCAUUGAGCAUAACGUUGCUGGAUUUGAUAUCUCUAUGAAUCACACAAUGAGGCCUUUUUUUGUGCAGGUAGCACAGUGCUGAGGCUAAUCCCAAAGCGAUGUUGUACCUCCUUUCCCAUGUCAACAAGGAGCUGCGUUUAAACAGAUGAUCGUACAAG
Molecule: long non-coding RNA, 34053 nt
Filed under: Eucalyptus grandis
Lineage: Eukaryota; Viridiplantae; Streptophyta; Magnoliopsida; Myrtales; Myrtaceae
Description: long non-coding RNA (EGRA_LNC002571)
Source: RNAcentral